RNAcentral lists this ribosomal RNA (585 nucleotides) under uncultured bacterium. RNAcentral's name for it is "partial 16S ribosomal RNA". It matches the Rfam family "Bacterial small subunit ribosomal RNA", at positions 355 to 1376 of the family's 1533-position model. The record is from RNAcentral.
UGGGGAAUUUUGGACAAUGGGCGCAAGCCUGAUCCAGCCAUGCCGCGUGCGGGAAGAAGGCCUUCGGGUUGUAAACCGCUUUUGUCAGGGAAGAAAUCUUCUGAGUUAAUACCUCGGGAGGAUGACGGUACCUGAAGAAUAAGCACCGGCUAACUACGUGCCAGCAGCCGCGGUAAUACGUAGGGUGCAAGCGUUAAUCGGAAUUACUGGGCGUAAAGCGUGCGCAGGCGGUUUUGUAAGACAGAGGUGAAAUCCCCGGGCUCAACCUGGGAACUGCCUUUGUGACUGCAAGGCUUGAGUGCGGCAGAGGGGGAUGGAAUUCCGCGUGUAGCAGUGAAAUGCGUAGAUAUGCGGAGGAACACCGAUGGCGAAGGCGAUCCCCUGGGCCUGCACUGACGCUCAUGCACGAAAGCGUGGGGAGCAAACAGGAUUAGAUACCCUGGUAGUCCACGCCCUAAACGAUGUCAACUGGUUGUUGGGAAGGUUCCUUCUCAGUAACGUAGCUAACGCGUGAAGUUGACCGCCGGGGGAGUACGGCCGCAAGGUUGGAACUAAAGGAAUUGACGGGGUCAUAGCUGUUUCCUG